GAAAUUUAAGGGCGGAACAGGCAGCCGCCGCCACGUGUUUUACACGGUAGGAGAUGCAGAUUGCCACCUGCUAAAUUUC
Molecule: non-coding RNA, 79 nt
Filed under: unclassified sequences
Description: skipping-rope RNA
Rfam family: skipping-rope RNA
About the family: Firmicutes, Fusobacteria, AlphaProteobacteria, Spirochaetes. Downstream gene
Source: Rfam by way of RNAcentral